AAAGUCGUAACAAGGUUUCCGUAGGUGGUUCGCCUGCGAAUUUAGUCUGCUUAGCAGGCAACAUCUCUACUGUGCUAGAAAUUACAAAAGUAUUACUAGCAGCCUGCUUAGCAGGUUCACAGAUCAAAUAGAGGUGGCCCUCAGGGGUUAAGACAUGAUCGAUUUGAUGCUGUAAGAGCAUCGGAGAAAUGGAACCUGCGGAAGGAUCAUUAAAGAGUUUAGAGACUUCGGUCUACUACUCCACCCUUUGUUUACAAUACCAUUGUUGCUUUGGCAGGCCCGUCGCAAGACAACCGGCUUUGGCUGGUCAGCGCCUGCCAGAGAACCUAAAACUCAUGUUUAUAUUAUUGUCUGAGUACUAUGUAAUAGUUAAAACUUUCAACAACGGAUCUCUUGGUUCUG
This 402-nucleotide unclassified non-coding RNA is filed under the name Ascomycota sp. Its description in RNAcentral is "partial contains small subunit ribosomal RNA, internal transcribed spacer 1, and 5.8S ribosomal RNA". Lineage: Eukaryota; Fungi; Ascomycota. The record is from RNAcentral.